AAUAGAUACCCUGGUAGUCCACGCCGUAAACGAUGAGUGCUAAGUGUUAGGGGGUUUCCGCCCCUUAGUGCUGCAGCUAACGCAUUAAGCACUCCGCCUGGGGAGUACGGUCGCAAGACUGAAACUCAAAGGAAUUGACGGGGGCCCGCACAAGCGGUGGAGCAUGUGGUUUAAUUCGAAGCAACGCGAAGAACCUUACCAGGUCUUGACAUCCCAUUGACCGCUAUGGAGACAUAGCUUUCCCUUCGGGGACAGUGGUGACAGGUGGUGCAUGGUUGUCGUCAGCUCGUGUCGUGAGAUGUUGGGUUAAGUCCCGCAACGAGCGCAACCCUUGUUCUUAGUUGCCAUCAUUUAGUUGGGCACUCUAAGGAGACUGCCGGUGACAAACCGGAGGAAGGUGGGGAUGACGUCAAAUCAUCAUGCCCCUUAUGACCUGGGCUACACACGUGCUACAAUGGACGGUACAAACGGUUGCCAACCCGCGAGGGGAGCUAAUCCGAUAAAACCGUUCUCAGUUCGGAUUGUAGGCUGCAACUCGCCUAC
RNAcentral lists this ribosomal RNA (543 nucleotides) under uncultured bacterium. RNAcentral's name for it is "bacterial SSU rRNA". It matches the Rfam family "Bacterial small subunit ribosomal RNA", at positions 777 to 1319 of the family's 1533-position model. The record is from RNAcentral.